GGUUAAGUGACUAAGCGUAUACGGUGGAUGCCUUGGCAGUCAGAGGCGAUGAAGGACGUACUAACUUGCGAUAAGCCCGGAUGAGGGAGUAAGACCCACAUGAGUCCGGGAUUUCCGAAUGGGGAAACCCACCUGCAGCAGCAGGUAUCUUUACCUGAAUCCAUAGGGUAAAGAGGCGAACCGGGGGAACUGAAACAUCUAAGUACCCCGAG
Molecule: non-coding RNA, 212 nt
Filed under: Vibrio aerogenes CECT 7868
Lineage: Bacteria; Pseudomonadati; Pseudomonadota; Gammaproteobacteria; Vibrionales; Vibrionaceae
Description: Bacterial large subunit ribosomal RNA
Rfam family: Bacterial large subunit ribosomal RNA
Source: Rfam by way of RNAcentral